RNAcentral lists this long non-coding RNA (720 nucleotides) under Callithrix jacchus (white-tufted-ear marmoset). Its description in RNAcentral is "lncRNA (ENSCJAG00000076542.1)". The record is from RNAcentral. Lineage: Eukaryota; Metazoa; Chordata; Mammalia; Primates; Cebidae.
GUAGCCAGUGUGGCGCCAGGCCGGUAUCUUCCGCCGCUAUAGGCAGGUGCACCCGAGGGGAGAUCCCUCCUGCGCCUUCCGCCUCGCCCUCUUCUUCCGUGUCCACUGCCACCUCUUCUGAAGCACACAAAUAUCUUUAUAAUAUAUUCACGCAGGGCUGUAGCUCGUCCUCGUCUACACAGUAAUAGAUGAACUCAGCAGUUGGCAAGGCACCAGGGCUCUGAGCCUGCAUCUGGACAAGUCGAUAAGAAAGCAUGAAUGCUCUCCUUUUCAGUGGCAAUGGGAAGUUCAGAUCACACAAUAUCAAUCAACCUGACCUGAUGAGGACCCCACCCUGCUCUCCCCAGAAAGCUUCGCUAUCACAAAAGGUCAUUUCAAUCCAGCUUCACUAAUGAUGAGGAGCUAUUUCCCUGGAAGAGGUACUGAGAAAUUGAAGAAAAGAGAGACAAUUUGGAGCUGGCAGUAUAGUCCCAGAAAAUAACCUUCAAAAGCCAUGGUAAUAUAAAAAAAUAUAUUUUGUAUGUAACAGUUACUACAGCCUGAACUUUUUCCAAAGGAGUGAAGUAGAUAUUAAAGUAUUAAACAAGGCUUAUCUUUUUUAGAUCUAUAUUGUAGCAACAUGACUUUGGGCUAUGUGUAUGGUUGGGAGCAGAGUGAGGGUAAACCAGAGUUAUGUGUAAGACAGAAUUAAGAGCUUAUUGCCGUCGUUCAAAACAGAAA